AGAUCAUCACUGGGUGUAAAGCGUGCGCAGGCGGUUUUGUAAGACAGAGGUGAAAUCCCCGGGCUCAACCUGGGGACUGCCUUUGUGACUGCAAGGCUGGAGUGCGGCAGAGGGGGAUGGAAUUCCGCGUGUAGCAGUGAAAUGCGUAGAUAUGCGGAGGAACACCGAUGGCGAAGGCAAUCCCCUGGGCCUGCACUGACGCUCAUGCACGAAAGCGUGGGGAGCAAACA
RNAcentral lists this ribosomal RNA (230 nucleotides) under uncultured Alicycliphilus sp. RNAcentral's name for it is "partial 16S ribosomal RNA". It matches the Rfam family "Bacterial small subunit ribosomal RNA", at positions 550 to 774 of the family's 1533-position model. The record is from RNAcentral. Lineage: Bacteria; Pseudomonadati; Pseudomonadota; Betaproteobacteria; Burkholderiales; Comamonadaceae.